GCCCACGUGGCGGAAUUGGUAGACGCACUAGUUUCAGGUACUAGCGGGUAAAACCGUGGGAGUUCGAGUCUCUCCGUGGGCACCA
RNAcentral lists this transfer RNA (85 nucleotides) under Gammaproteobacteria bacterium. Its description in RNAcentral is "tRNA-Leu". It matches the Rfam family "tRNA". Rfam says of the family: Transfer RNA (tRNA) molecules are approximately 80 nucleotides in length. The record is from RNAcentral. RNAcentral also lists the same sequence under 1 other name. Lineage: Bacteria; Pseudomonadati; Pseudomonadota; Gammaproteobacteria.